Molecule: ribosomal RNA, 406 nt
Filed under: uncultured bacterium
Lineage: Bacteria
Description: partial 16S ribosomal RNA
Rfam family: Bacterial small subunit ribosomal RNA
Source: RNAcentral
AUUGAACGCUGGCGGCAGGCCUAACACAUGCAAGUCGAACGAGUGGCGGACGGGUGAGUAAUGUCUGGGAAACUGCCUGAUGGAGGGGGAUAACUACUGGAAAAGGUAGCUAAUACCGCAUACCAUCGGAUGUGCCCAGAUGGGAUUAGCUAGUGGGUGGGGUAACGGCUCACCUAGGCUACGAUCCCUAGCUGGUCUGAGAGGAUGACCAGACACACUGUAACUGAGACACGGUCCAGACUCCUCCGGGAGGCAGCAGUGGGGAAGAUUGCACAAUGGGCGCAAGCCUGAUGCAGCCAUGCCGCGUGGAGGAAGAAGGCCUUCGGGUGUUAAAGUACUUUCAGCGGGGAGGCGUUACCCGCAGAAGAAGCACCGGCGAACUCCGUGCCAGCAGCCGCGGUAAUUC